AUUGAACGCUGGCGGCAUGCCUAACACAUGCAAGUCGAACGGCAGCACAGCAGUAGCAAUACUGUGGGUGGCGAGUGGCGGACGGGUGAGGAAUACGUCGGAAUCUGCCCAGUCGUGGGGGAUAACUAGCCGAAAGGUUAGCUAAUACCGCAUACGACCGAGAGGUGAAAGCGGGGGACCGCAAGGCCUCGCGCGAUUGGAUGAGCCGACGUCGGAUUAGCUAGUUGGCGGGGUAAAGGCCCACCAAGGCGACGAUCCGUAGCUGGUCUGAGAGGAUGAUCAGCCACACUGGAACUGAGACACGGUCCAGACUCCUACGGGAGGCAGCAGUGGGGAAUAUUGGACAAUGGGCGCAAGCCUGAUCCAGCAAUGCCGCGUGUGUGAAG
Molecule: ribosomal RNA, 386 nt
Filed under: uncultured bacterium
Lineage: Bacteria
Description: bacterial SSU rRNA
Rfam family: Bacterial small subunit ribosomal RNA
Source: RNAcentral